RNAcentral lists this ribosomal RNA (907 nucleotides) under uncultured eukaryote. RNAcentral describes it as "SSU rRNA". It matches the Rfam family "Eukaryotic small subunit ribosomal RNA", at positions 266 to 1177 of the family's 1831-position model. The record is from RNAcentral.
GAAUCGCAUGGCCUUGCGCCGGCGACGGUUCAUUCAAGUUUCUGCCCUAUCAACUUUCGAUGGUAAGGUAUUGGCUUACCAUGGUUUCAACGGGUAACGGGGAAUUAGGGUUCGAUUCCGGAGAGGGAGCCUGAGAAACGGCUACCACAUCCAAGGAAGGCAGCAGGCGCGCAAAUUACCCAAUCCCGACACGGGGAGGUAGUGACAAUAAAUACUGAUACAGGGCUCUUUUGGGCCUUGUAAUCGGAAUGAGUACAAUUUAAACCCCUUAACGAGGAACGAUUGGAGGGCAAGUCUGGUGCCAGCAGCCGCGGUAAUUCCAGCUCCAAUAGCGUAUAUUAAAGUUGUUGCAGUUAAAAAGCUCGUAGUUGAACCUUGGGCCUGGCUGGCCGGUCCGCCUCACCGCGUGUACUGGUCCGGCCGGGCCUUUCCUUCUGGAGAGCCCCAUGCCCUUCACUGGGUGUGCGGGGGAACCAGGACUUUUACUUUGAAAAAAUUAGAGUGUUCAAAGCAGGCCUUUGCUCGAAUACGUUAGCAUGGAAUAAUAGAAUAGGACGUGCGAUCCUAUUUUGUUGGUUUCCAGGACCGCCGUAAUGAUUAAUAGGGACAGUCGGGGGCAUCAGUAUUCAAUUGUCAGAGGUGAAAUUCUUGGAUUUAUUGAAGACUAACUACUGCGAAAGCAUUUGCCAAGGAUGUUUUCAUUAAUCAGUGAACGAAAGUUAGGGGAUCGAAGACGAUCAGAUACCGUCGUAGUCUUAACCGUAAACUAUGCCGACUAGGGAUCGGGCAAUGUUUUUAUCUUGACUCGCUCGGCACCUUACGAGAAAUCAAAGUUUUUGGGUUCUGGGGGGAGUAUGGUUGCAAGGCUGAAACUUAAAGAAGUCGACGGAAGGGCACCACCAGGCGU